GGCUCAGGAUGAACGCUAGCGGCAGGCCUAACACAUGCAAGUCGAGGGGUAACAGGGUAGCAAUAUCGCUGACGACCGGCGCACGGGUGAGUAACGCGUAUGCAACCUUCCUUUAACUGGGGGAUAGCCCGGAGAAAUUCGGAUUAAUACCCCAUAACAUCAUAGAAAGGCAUCUUUCAGUGAUUAAAGCUCCGGCGGUUAAAGAUGGGCAUGCGUGCCAUUAGCUAGUUGGUGAGGUAACGGCUCACCAAGGCUACGAUGGUUAGGGGGUCUGAGAGGAUGAUCCCCCACACUGGUACUGAGACACGGACCAGACUCCUACGGGAGGCAGCAGUGAGGAAUAUUGGGCAAUGGGCGCAAGCCUGACCCAGCCAUGCCGCGUGAAGGAUGAAUGCCCUAUGGGUUGUAAACUUCUUUUGUACGGGACGAAACUCCUGGUCGUGACCGGGAUUGACUGUACCGUGCGAAUAAGCAUCGGCUAACUCCGUGCCAGCAGCCGCGGUAAUACGGAGGAUGCAAGCGUUAUCCGGAUUCAUUGGGUUUAAAGGGUGCGUAGGCGGAAUAAUAAGUCAGUGGUGAAAGCCUGCGGCUUAACCGUAGAAAUGCCAUUGAUACUGUUAUUCUUGAGUAUAGUUGAGGUGGGCGGAAUGUGUAAUGUAGCGGUGAAAUGCUUAGAUAUUACACAGAACACCAAUUGCGAAGGCAGCUCACUAAGCUGUUACUGACGCUGAGGCACGAAAGCGUGGGGAGCAAACAGGAUUAGAUACCCUGGUAGUCCACGCCGUAAACGAUGAUCACUCGUUGUUGGCGAUACACCGUCAGCGACUGAGCGAAAGCAAUAAGUGAUCCACCUGGGGAGUACGGCGGCAACGCUGAAACUCAAAU
RNAcentral lists this ribosomal RNA (885 nucleotides) under uncultured bacterium. Its description in RNAcentral is "bacterial SSU rRNA". It matches the Rfam family "Bacterial small subunit ribosomal RNA", at positions 21 to 906 of the family's 1533-position model. The record is from RNAcentral.